Molecule: ribosomal RNA, 484 nt
Filed under: uncultured bacterium
Lineage: Bacteria
Description: partial 16S ribosomal RNA
Rfam family: Bacterial small subunit ribosomal RNA
Source: RNAcentral
GACGAACGCUGGCGGCGUGCUUAACACAUGCAAGUCGAACGAUGAACCCGGAGCUUGCUCCGGUGGAUUAGUGGCGAACGGGUGAGUAACACGUGAGUAACCUGCCCUUGACUCUGGGAUAACUGCGGGAAACUGUAGCUAAUACCGGAUACGACCCUCGGCGGCAUCGCCAGGGGGUGGAAAGAAUUUCGGUCAAGGAUGGACUCGCGGCCUAUCAGCUAGUUGGUGAGGUAACGGCGCACCAAGGCGACGACGGGUAGCCGGCCUGAGAGGGUGACCGGCCACACUGGGACUGAGACACGGCCCAGACUCCUACGGGAGGCAGCAGUAGGGAAUAUUGCACAAUGGGCGCACGCCUGAUACAGCAACGCCGCGUGAGGGAUGACGGCCUUCGGGUUGUAAACCUCUUUUAGUAGGGAAGAAGCGAAAGUGACGGUACCUGCAGAAAAAGCACCGGCUAACUACGUGCCAGCAGCCGCCGUAA